GACAGCUUGGCCGAGUGGUUAAGGCGAUAGACUAGAAAUGUAUUGGGGUAACCCGCGUGAGUUCAAAUCUUACAGCUGUCG
Phytophthora infestans T30-4 is the source of this 81-nucleotide transfer RNA. It matches the Rfam family "tRNA". Rfam says of the family: Transfer RNA (tRNA) molecules are approximately 80 nucleotides in length. Their secondary structure includes four short double-helical elements and three loops (D, anti-codon, and T loops). The record is from Rfam. NCBI's taxonomy places the organism in Eukaryota, Oomycota, Peronosporomycetes, Peronosporales, Peronosporaceae.